Molecule: ribosomal RNA, 494 nt
Filed under: uncultured bacterium
Lineage: Bacteria
Description: partial 16S ribosomal RNA
Rfam family: Bacterial small subunit ribosomal RNA
Source: RNAcentral
GACGAGCGCUGGCGGCGUGCCUAAUACAUGCAAGUAGAACGCUGAAGGAGGAGCUUGCUCUUCUGGAUGAGUUGCGAACGGGUGAGUAACGCGUAGGUAACCUGCCUGGUAGUGGGGAUAACUAUUGGAAACGAUAGCUAAUACCGCAUAAUAACAGUUGUUGCAUGACAACUGUUUGAAAGGUGCAAUUGCAUCACUACCAGAUGGACCUGCGUUGUAUUAGCUAGUUGGUGGGGUAACGGCUCACCAAGGCGACGAUACAUAGCCGACCUGAGAGGGUGAUCGGCCACACUGGGACUGAGACACGGCCCAGACUCCUACGGGAGGCAGCAGUAGGGAAUCUUCGGCAAUGGACGAAAGUCUGACCGAGCAACGCCGCGUGAGUGAAGAAGGUUUUCGGAUCGUAAAGCUCUGUUGUAAGAGAAGAACGAGUGUGAGAGUGGAAAGUUCACACUGUGACGGUAUCUUACCAGAAAGGGACGGCUAACUACGUG